GGGCCCAAUGCUCCGUUAGCAGAGCCGCUGACUUUUAAUCAGCUAGUCACAGGAUCGAAUUCUGUCGGGCUCACCA
This 76-nucleotide transfer RNA is filed under the name Sneathiella marina. Its description in RNAcentral is "Sneathiella sp. PHK-P5 tRNA-Lys". It matches the Rfam family "tRNA". Rfam says of the family: Transfer RNA (tRNA) molecules are approximately 80 nucleotides in length. Their secondary structure includes four short double-helical elements and three loops (D, anti-codon, and T loops). Lineage: Bacteria; Pseudomonadati; Pseudomonadota; Alphaproteobacteria; Sneathiellales; Sneathiellaceae. The record is from RNAcentral.